Molecule: long non-coding RNA, 243 nt
Filed under: Hordeum vulgare
Lineage: Eukaryota; Viridiplantae; Streptophyta; Magnoliopsida; Poales; Poaceae
Description: long non-coding RNA (HVUL_LNC006451)
Source: RNAcentral
GUUCAGUUCGUCUGGGACGAACGGAUGACAGCGCGGGCGGCUGGAGGGGCGGCUCCGACGGGGCUCUCGUCGGCGGGCUGGAAAGAUCCGGUCAAGGGGGUCCCAUUUCCGAGCUCGAUGACGACUCCGGUCACCGGCAGCCAUAGAUCGAGGCACGGCUUGAAGGACCUCGGCGCCUCCAUGGCUGCUCCUGAUUGCAACGGGAGAGAAAGAGAACAUUAGAGAGAGGAGGAGGAGCAACAC